GAUGAAGAACGUAGCGAAAUGCGAUAAGUAAUGUUAAUUGCAGAAUUCAGUGAAUCAUCGAAUCUUUGAACGCACAUUGCGCCCGCCAGUAUUCUGGCGGGCAUGCCUGUUCGAGCGUCAUUUCAACCAUCAAGCCCCAGGCUUGUGUUGGAGCCCUGCGGCUGCCGCAGCCUCCCAAAACCAGUGGCGGGCUCGCUAUCACACCGAGUGCAGUAGUUUACUCUUCGCUCAGGGCGUGUGGCGGGUGCUAGCCGUAAAACCCCCAACUUCUCAAGGUUGACCUCGGAUCAGGUAGGAAUACCCGCUGAACUUAAGCAUAUCAAUAAGCGGAGGA
This 334-nucleotide unclassified non-coding RNA is filed under the name soil metagenome. RNAcentral's name for it is "partial contains 5.8S ribosomal RNA, internal transcribed spacer 2, and large subunit ribosomal RNA". The stretch from base 1 to 120 matches the Rfam family "5.8S ribosomal RNA", at positions 35 to 154 of the family's 154-position model. The record is from RNAcentral.